UGCGUAUGGUGCAAGCGUUAUCCGGAAUGACUGGGUGUAAAGGGAGCGUAGACGGUUGUACAAGUCUGAUGUGAAAGCCCACGGCUCAACUGUGGGAGUGCAUUGGAAACUGUAGAACUAGAGUAUCGGAGAGGCAAGUGGAAUUCCUAGUGUAGCGGUGAAAUGCGUAGAUAUUAGGAGGAACACCAGUGGCGAAGGCGGCUUGCUGGACGAAAACUGACGUUGAGGCUCGAAAGCGUGGGGAGCAAACAGG
Molecule: ribosomal RNA, 253 nt
Filed under: uncultured bacterium
Lineage: Bacteria
Description: partial 16S ribosomal RNA
Rfam family: Bacterial small subunit ribosomal RNA
Source: RNAcentral